GGUGGGUCGCCCCGCAUGUUCAAACCAUGAACCUGGUCAGGUCCGGAAGGAAGCAGCCACAGUGGUGUAGGCAGUGCCGGGGGAACGGCUCACCACU
RNAcentral lists this signal recognition particle RNA (97 nucleotides) under Burkholderiales bacterium. RNAcentral describes it as "signal recognition particle sRNA small type". It matches the Rfam family "Bacterial small signal recognition particle RNA". From Rfam's summary of the family: The signal recognition particle (SRP) is a universally conserved ribonucleoprotein involved in the co-translational targeting of proteins to membranes. Archaeal SRP consists of a 7S RNA and homologues of the eukaryotic SRP19 and SRP54 proteins. In most bacteria, the SRP consists of a 4.5S RNA and the Ffh protein (a homologue of the eukaryotic SRP54 protein). Lineage: Bacteria; Pseudomonadati; Pseudomonadota; Betaproteobacteria; Burkholderiales. The record is from RNAcentral. RNAcentral also lists the same sequence under 1 other name.